Molecule: ribosomal RNA, 233 nt
Filed under: uncultured bacterium
Lineage: Bacteria
Description: partial 16S ribosomal RNA
Rfam family: Bacterial small subunit ribosomal RNA
Source: RNAcentral
CGGGACGGGUGAGUAAUGCUUGGGAAUCUAGCUUAUGGAGGGGGAUAACUACGGGAAACUGUAGCUAAUACCGCGUAAUAUCGAAAGAUUAAAGUGUAGGACCUUCGGGCCACAUGCCAUAAGAUGAGCCCAAGUGGGAUUAGGUAGUUGGUGAGGUAAAGGCUCACCAAGCCGACGAUCUCUAGCUGGUCUGAGAGGAUGACCAGCCACACUGGGACUGAGACACGGCCCAG